GGAUGCGUAGUUCAACGUUUAGAACUUUCGGCUCCAGCCCGAAGAACGGGGGUUAAACUCCCCCCGCGUCCA
Molecule: transfer RNA, 72 nt
Filed under: Nanobdellota archaeon
Lineage: Archaea; Nanobdellati; Nanobdellota
Description: tRNA-Trp
Rfam family: tRNA
About the family: Transfer RNA (tRNA) molecules are approximately 80 nucleotides in length. Their secondary structure includes four short double-helical elements and three loops (D, anti-codon, and T loops).
Source: RNAcentral